ACAUGCAAGUCGAACGAUGAAGAGCAGCUUGCUGCUUGGAUUAGUGGCGCACGGGUGAGUAAUAUAUAGGUAAUGUGCCUCUUAGUCUGGGAUAGCCAUUGGAAACGAUGAUUAAUACUGGAUACUCCUUCUAACUCUAAUGUUAGUCGGGAAAGUUUUUCGCUAAGAGAUCAGCCUAUAUCCCAUCAGUUAGUUGGUAAGGUAACGGCUUACCAAGGCAAUGACGGGUAGCGGGUUUGAGAGGAUGAUCCGCCACACUGGUACUGAGACACGGACCAGACUCCUACGGGAGGCAGCAGUGAGGAAUAUUGCACAAUGGGGGAAACCCUGAUGCAGCAACGCCGCGUGGAGGAUGACGCAUUUCGGUGUGUAAACUCCUUUUAUAUGUCAAGAAAAUGACGGUAGCAUAUGAAUAAGCACCGGCUAACUCCGUGCCAGCAGCCGCGGUAAUACGGAGGGUGCAAGCGUUACUCGGAAUCACUGGGCGUAAAGGACGCGUAGGCGGAUUGGAAAGUCAGAUGUGAAAUCCUACAGCUUAACUGUAGAACUGCAUUUGAAACUUCUAAUCUAGAGUAUGGGAGGGGGAGAUGGAAUUAGUGGUGUAGGGGUAAAAUCCGUAGAUAUCACUAGGAAUACCGAAAGCGAAGGCGAUCUCCUGGAACAUUACUGACGCUAAGGCGUGAAAGCGUGGGGAGCAAACAGGAUUAGAUACCCUGGUAGUCCACGCCCUAAACGAUGAACACUAGUCGUCGGGAUGCUUGUCAUCUCGGUGAUGCACUUAACAGAUUAAGUGUUCCGCC
RNAcentral lists this ribosomal RNA (800 nucleotides) under uncultured bacterium. RNAcentral describes it as "bacterial SSU rRNA". It matches the Rfam family "Bacterial small subunit ribosomal RNA", at positions 53 to 873 of the family's 1533-position model. The record is from RNAcentral.